Molecule: long non-coding RNA, 214 nt
Filed under: Elaeis guineensis (African oil palm)
Lineage: Eukaryota; Viridiplantae; Streptophyta; Magnoliopsida; Arecales; Arecaceae
Description: long non-coding RNA (EGUI_LNC064742)
Source: RNAcentral
UACUGCUAUUCUCGCUACCCCUUCCUAUGAUCCAUUGUUGACGAUGCUGCUUUACGGCAAGGAGACCUUGGAGUAUGAAGACAUAGUCUUGGUGCUAUAGUCCAAUGAACAGUGGGAGAAGUUAACCAAGGAAGGUGCUCCCCAAGAAGGCUUGGCCAUGGAAAAGAGAUCAGGAAGAGGAAGGGAAAGAAGUAAGUCUAACAGAUAGUCAAAG